GGUCGACGAGCGCAGCCGUCGCGCCAGCGGGGGCGGCGGCGUCCGCAGGGACUACGACGGCGAUGUCAUGAUGGCUGAUGCGUGAGAUACUCGUCAGAGAGUACGUCCUGCUGCGGAGUCGCUUCUCGAGCACGAGAUCCGUCGGUUUGGUCAGACACCGCGACGGCGGCGGCGGCGGCGGCGAGGGGAAGGUAGCCGAGCUUGACACGGCCCCUCCACCUGACCCUUCAGCAGUCUCGACUCUCGAGUGCUGCAUCGAUCUCAACUCUCAAGCUGUCCACAACGACUCGAUCCAUGCGUACCGUGCCACCGUCGGCAUCCGCCCGCCGCCGCUUGUGACCGUGUCGUAUUUAGUUAGUUUCAGGUCAUAUCAACUUCUGUAAUUUAACGUGUAAAAGUAUCCAGGUUAUUUUCAGAGAAUAUGCAACUAUAUACUCUCCA
This 441-nucleotide long non-coding RNA is filed under the name Setaria italica (foxtail millet). RNAcentral's name for it is "long non-coding RNA (SITA_LNC002789)". The record is from RNAcentral. Lineage: Eukaryota; Viridiplantae; Streptophyta; Magnoliopsida; Poales; Poaceae.